This 253-nucleotide ribosomal RNA is filed under the name uncultured bacterium. RNAcentral's name for it is "partial 16S ribosomal RNA". It matches the Rfam family "Bacterial small subunit ribosomal RNA", at positions 524 to 776 of the family's 1533-position model. The record is from RNAcentral.
UACGGAGGGUGCAAGCGUUGUUCGGAAUCAUUGGGCGUAAAGCGCGUGUAGGCGGCUUGGCAAGUCAGUUGUGAAAGCCCGGGGCCCAACCCCGGAACUGCAUCUGAAACUGCCUGGCUAGAGUCCCGGAGAGGAAGGCAGAAUUCCCGGUUUAGGGGUGAAAUCCGUAGAUAUCGGGAGGAAUACCAGCGGCGAAGGCGGCCUUCUGGACGGUGACUGACGCUGAGACGCGAAAGCGUGGGGAGCAAACAGG